UCUGGUGAUUAUAGUUUUAAGGGUAACACCCCUUUCCAUUUCGAACAGGUAGGUUAAGCCUUAAGACGCUGAUAGUACUGCAUGGGAAGCUGUGUGGGAGGGUAAGUUGUCGCCAGGUA
This 119-nucleotide ribosomal RNA is filed under the name Clostridium ihumii. Lineage: Bacteria; Bacillati; Bacillota; Clostridia; Eubacteriales; Clostridiaceae. The record is from RNAcentral.